UACAGAGGGUGCGAGCGUUAAUCGGAAUUACUGGGCGUAAAGCGUGCGCAGGCGGUUUUGCAAGCCGGAUGUGAAAUCCCCGGGCUCAACCUGGGAAUGGCAUUCGGGACUGCAAGGCUGGAGUGCGGCAGAGGAGACUGGAAUUCCUGGUGUAGCAGUGAAAUGCGUAGAUAUCAGGAGGAAUACCGAUGGCGAAGGCAGGUCUCUGGGCUGACACUGACGCUCAUGCACGAAAGCGUGGGGAGCAAACAGG
This 253-nucleotide ribosomal RNA is filed under the name uncultured bacterium. Its description in RNAcentral is "partial 16S ribosomal RNA". It matches the Rfam family "Bacterial small subunit ribosomal RNA", at positions 524 to 776 of the family's 1533-position model. The record is from RNAcentral.